This 371-nucleotide ribosomal RNA is filed under the name uncultured organism. RNAcentral's name for it is "bacterial SSU rRNA". It matches the Rfam family "Bacterial small subunit ribosomal RNA", at positions 526 to 896 of the family's 1533-position model. The record is from RNAcentral.
CGUAGGGUGCGAGCGUUAAUCGGAAUUACUGGGCGUAAAGCGUGCGCAGGCGGCGCCGCAAGUCGAGUGUGAAAUCCCCGAGCUUAACUUGGGAAUUGCGCUCGAAACUACGGUGCUGGAGUGUGGCAGAGGGAGUGGAAUUCCACGUGUAGCGGUGAAAUGCGUAGAGAUGUGGAGGAACACCGAUGGCGAAGGCAGCCUCCUGGGCCAACACUGACGCUCAUGCACGAAAGCGUGGGGAGCAAACAGGAUUAGAUACCCUGGUAGUCCACGCCCUAAACGAUGAUGACUAGUUGUUGGGGGAGUUAAAUCCCUUAGUAACGCAGCUAACGCGUGAAGUCAUCCGCCUGGGGAGUACGGUCGCAAGAUUA